This is a long non-coding RNA of Megalobrama amblycephala (Wuchang bream), 3750 nucleotides long. RefSeq lists it as uncharacterized. The record is from RefSeq and is a predicted model, not a curated record. NCBI's taxonomy places the organism in Eukaryota, Metazoa, Chordata, Actinopteri, Cypriniformes, Xenocyprididae. The transcript is spliced from 3 exons.
UGACAUUCUUCCAAAUAUCUUCCUUUGUGUUCAGCAGAACAAAGAAACUCAUACAGUUUUGGAACAACUUGAGGGUGAUUAAAUGAUGACAGAAUUUUCAUUUUUUUAUGUGAACUAUGGCCCUGUUCCAGAGAGCCAUGUAACGCAUAUUAUUGCCAUGUUCUUUGUCUGUUAAUACCAUAGACUGUAUAAAACAGUUAAUACAUACAGUGUAGUCUGAUGUCUGUGAGAGAGACUGAAGCACACUGAACCAUACUCAGCAGGAGUCUUCAGGGAGGAAGAUGAACCUUGUGUAUUUUGUGUCUUGUGUGAGAGAUAGGAUGUGUGUAUGUUUAUAUGAACAUGUUUUUGAGAGAAAGGUGUGCUGAAAAAGAAAGAGGUCAUGAUGAAGGGGGUUGAGAGGGGUACUGAACCAGAGACAGGGGAGUGGGCAAAUGCUACAAAUAGUUUUUAGGACACUGAGAUUUUGGGGCAAGGGAGGGCUGUUGUGUGUUUGAGUGAUUUUAUAUGUGCGAGUGUGCGUAUGUCAAAUGUAGGGCAAAUGCAGGACCAAAGAGGAUUCCCUCACCUAGAUUUCAAGUUUCAUACGACCUUCAUGUGUGAAAAUCUACAGCAAUUAAUGAGUGCAUUUACAUGGGGGAAAAACACAGAUAAUGGUGAAAACUGGCUUAUUAUAAAGAUCUGAUUAUGUAAAACCCUUAACAUUAAGCCAUUUAUACAACCUUAUGCAUUGUCCAUAACAGGGAAAAUUGCAUGUAAACACACACAAUGUGUUUUUGACCAAAAAUAGCACUACAUAUAUGGGACAAAUUAAAAAAUUCAUAUAUAUAUAUCUACAUUGAAUAAUAUUGAAUGCUGUAAAACUACGAAAUCAUGAUAUUCCAUAUUGAACAUUAUCCAUUUUCUCUCUCCCUUCGCUGAACAGACUCCCUGACAUUAGAAUUCCUACCCAGGCUCGGUUGCCAUGGUGAAAGCAUGUGGUUUCCUGGCGUUGCCAUGGGGAUUUCCUCCCUGAACAUUUCUUCAGCAAUCAUACACUUGUCUUUUCAUGAUUUAUUCCUUUUCUCUCUCUCUCUCUCAAUCACUCUUUUUGUCUUUCCCAGUGAUUCUCUCCCCUGCUGAAGAUCCUGGGUGGCAGUUGCUGUGACUGUGUAAAGGACAGUUGAUGAGUCUCGAUUCCCUUUAGAUGAGGGUUUUCUCAGGGUGACCUUGAGCAAGCGUGACCUCAUUGGUUUUCUAAUUUCACAUACGGACACGCAGAUUUGCACAAACGAGCGCACACCUUGAGCAGAAAUGAUCAGCUAACGGGCAUAUUAUAGCACCCACUCACCCAGCCACCCCCAUGCUCACAUUAUAUGAGCUUCUUGUGCUUGCAUUUAUCAGGAGGUUCCUGAGGAAAACAUGCUGUUGUGCUAACGAGCCUCAUUAUGGCAGCGCUCUUAUUAAAUGGCCUCUGGGUUAAACAACAUGAGGAAUACUGUGAUAUGUAAUCUCUCUACAGCCAUUAACACCGAAGCUAAAAAAAAAAAAAAAAAAAAAAUUCAGAAAUGUUUUAUGGCCUUCAUCUCACAGCUGAAAAUUUCACAUCCUUAAAAUGGAGAAAAUAAGACAAAAUGCAUAAUAUGACCUUUUAAUUGUGUAAAAUAAAUUACUAAUACUAAACUAAUAGCAUGCUGUUUUUUCCUUGCAGAUUUUUUUUUUUGCAGGUAAUGAAAGACAGGAAACACAUACUUCAAAGAUGAUAGGUAACAGCACAGCUUUAUUGAAUGAUGUGGAGAUCAGAUGGUGAGUAAACCGGAAAUGCACAACAACAGUGAGAGAAUUGGGGAUGGGAAGCAGUGUAUAUGUAGUGUAAAUAGAGAAGUGGAGGGGUCCAAGAAUUGAAUGAGGAACCCCAGUGAUCGGUUGAUGUGCUUUGGAUACCUCCCCUCUCCAGGCAACCCUGAAAGACCUACCUGUGAGAUGUGAUUCAAAUCAGUGAAGUGGAGUUCUUGUGAUGAGAGGGUGGACAGAAGAAUCUGAUGAUUCAUGGUGUCAAAGGCAGCAGAUAGAUCCACAGAUUCACCAGGUCAAUCUAUCAAAGGUUCGAAGGAGCAAACUUGGAGACCGGAUUGUGGAGGAGGAACAAUACUGGAGGUCGCAUUGAUUAACGCUCAGGAGAUGGUGAAUGUUGAGAUGGCUUGAAGUUGGAGCCUGGUGAAUCUGUGAAGAUGAAUAUUCAGAUACUAAUGAUCACAAUUACUGUAGGCUAUGAUUAUUCAUGUCAUCCCAUUUAUGCUUUUGAUAGAUGCUUUUUUUGCAUUCAAGGUACUGUAUACAUUUUAUCAGUUCAUGCAUUCCAUUUUAUAUCAUUAAAUAUGAAUGUAAUAUGACUUCUGAAUAAUAUUCUGGUAAUUUUCUUGAUAUUCUGUAUUUAAAUCUGAAAAUUCUUAAAUCUGAGCAUGAUCCAUUCCCUGCCAAAAAAGUAAUUUUCUUAAUUAUAAGUUUCUUUUUACCCCAUUUGUAUUUUAUGUUUUCUUGUUGUAAGCAUAAAAGCAAACAAAUGUUUGUGAGGUUUAUGCUUUAAACAAAAACAAUAUUUUGGCUAAAAAUGUUUUCAAAUUCCAAUUCAAGAUACUUAUAAUAAUUUGUAAUUAUAUUUUAAUAAGAAUUGAUAUAAUUGUGUUAAUUUAUAAAACACAUUUGAUUUUGCAGCACAUUAGCAUUUGGUUAUAUCUGGGGAAAAAAAAGAAAUCCUGCUCCAAGGCAAUUGAAACAAAAGGUAACUAUUUAGGGAUAUGUGUUAUAUACCUCAGCUGAGCUCUAUAAAUUAUUUUCUCAAAGCCUGCAGAUUUAAUUGCGCCUACUAUAUUGGCAAUCUGAAAGACAGACAGGCAGUAAUAUACAGGUUAUUUCCAGCCAUAUCGUGGUCCUUUAGUUUGUAUGUUUGUGUGUGUGAUUUGUAAAGGCUCGUCACAGCAGGUGUGUUCCUAAUGUGAAGUGGACAAAAAUAAACCUGUGUACCUCCCCCAAACAUUUUACAUUUCUACAGAGGAAACCCUGUCAUUACUGGAACUAAUUCAAUAGUCUGUAAAUCAGUGUUAUCUUUUCUCAGCUCAGCUGGUUUCUCCUUGCCGGAUGGUUUUUGUCACAAGUUUUAAGUGUUCAUAUAUACCUCUGAUCAUUGGACAACCUUAGUAGUUGGUGUAUUUACUGUGUGCAUGAGUAUGUUGUUUGGUUUGGAGUAGGGGUGAAUUCAGGUUGAUUGGGACAUGUUUUGUCAUUGACAUGACUGGAAAAAAGUGUCCCAGUCAACCUGAAUUCACCCCUAUAUUUGAAGGCUCUCACCAUGCCAGAUCAACGGAAGUCCUUUUAACACCGCUAUCAACACAUACUUUCUCUCCUCCUCUUUCUGUCUCAGUUUGUCUAUUUGACCUCGAAUAAAGGUCACUUCCUCUUCGGUAAUCUCGUAGCAUGCAGAGUAUGUGGGCUCAGGUUUUGUUUGCAUGUAUGAGUGUUUCCCUGCAGAGUGUGUACAUGUGUAAAUAUGCAUUUGGGAAGAGUGUGAGAGAGCAUUGAACAGUGAGAACAUAGAUUUAAAUGUAAAAAGGCAGACUGAUUUACAUGUGAAAAACUUAUUCUGACUUCUUGUGAGUUUAUACUGUAUAGGUGUUUAUUGAAUAUAUUGUUCUGGUACUGGAUGCUGAUUGGUCAAUAUGCUAUAUUAUAAAAAGGUUAGUUCCUGUCCUUGAUUCUGAUUGGUCAAUAUCU